UGUAGCUUAGCAUUGAAUCUCGGUAUUGUCUGUACAGGAUAGGUGGGAGACUUGGAAGCUUGGGCGUCAGCCUGAGUGGAGUCAUCCUUGGGAUACCACCCUGACAGUACUGGGGUUCUAACCGGCGGCCAUGGAUCUGGUCACGGGACAUUGUUAGGUGGGCAGUUUGACUGGGGCGGUCGCCUCCUAAAAAGUAACGGAGGCGCCCAAAAGUUCCCUCAGCGCGGUCGGAAAUCGCGCGAAGAGUGCAAAGGCAGAAGG
Molecule: ribosomal RNA, 261 nt
Filed under: Clostridium botulinum
Lineage: Bacteria; Bacillati; Bacillota; Clostridia; Eubacteriales; Clostridiaceae
Description: partial 23S ribosomal RNA
Rfam family: Bacterial large subunit ribosomal RNA
Source: RNAcentral